This 1360-nucleotide ribosomal RNA is filed under the name uncultured bacterium. RNAcentral describes it as "bacterial SSU rRNA". It matches the Rfam family "Bacterial small subunit ribosomal RNA", at positions 28 to 1381 of the family's 1533-position model. The record is from RNAcentral.
AUUGAACGCUGGCGGCAGGCUUAACACAUGCAAGUCGAGCGGAAACGAUGGUAGCUUGCUACCAGGCGUCGAGCGGCGGACGGGUGAGUAAUACUUAGGAAUCUACCUAGUAGUGGGGGAUAGCUCGGGGAAACUCGAAUUAAUACCGCAUACGACCUACGGGAGAAAGGGGGCAGUUUACUGCUCUCGCUAUUAGAUGAGCCUAAGUCGGAUUAGCUAGAUGGUGGGGUAAAGGCCUACCAUGGCGACGAUCUGUAGCUGGUCUGAGAGGAUGAUCAGCCACACCGGGACUGAGACACGGCCCGGACUCCUACGGGAGGCAGCAGUGGGGAAUAUUGGACAAUGGGGGAAACCCUGAUCCAGCCAUGCCGCGUGUGUGAAGAAGGCCUUUUGGUUGUAAAGCACUUUAAGCAGUGAAGAAGACUCCGUGGUUAAUACCCACGGACGAUGACAUUAGCUGCAGAAUAAGCACCGGCUAACUCUGUGCCAGCAGCCGCGGUAAUACAGAGGGUGCAAGCGUUAAUCGGAAUUACUGGGCGUAAGGGGAGCGUAGGUGGCUCGAUAAGUCAGAUGUGAAAUCCCCGGGCUCAACCUGGGAACUGCAUCUGAUACUGUUGAGCUAGAGUAUGUGAGAGGAAGGUAGAAUUCCAGGUGUAGCGGUGAAAUGCGUAGAGAUCUGGAGGAAUACCGAUGGCGAAGGCAGCCUUCUGGCAUAAUACUGACACUGAGGCUCGAAAGCGUGGGUAGCAAACAGGAUUAGAUACCCUGGUAGUCCACGCCGUAAACGAUGUCUACUAGUCGUUGGGUCCCUUGAGGACUUAGUGACGCAGCUAACGCAAUAAGUAGACCGCCUGGGGAGUACGGCCGCAAGGUUAAAACUCAAAUGAAUUGACGGGGGCCCGCACAAGCGGUGGAGCAUGUGGUUUAAUUCGAUGCAACGCGAAGAACCUUACCUGGUCUUGACAUAUCUAGAAUCCUGCAGAGAUGCGGGAGUGCCUUCGGGAAUUAGAAUACAGGUGCUGCAUGGCUGUCGUCAGCUCGUGUCGUGAGAUGUUGGGUUAAGUCCCGCAACGAGCGCAACCCUUGUCCUUAGUUACCAGCGGGUUAAGCCGGGAACUCUAAGGAUACUGCCAGUGACAAACUGGAGGAAGGCGGGGACGACGUCAAGUCAUCAUGGCCCUUACGACCAGGGCUACACACGUGCUACAAUGGUAGGUACAGAGGGCAGCUACACAGCGAUGUGAUGCGAAUCUCAAAAAGCCUAUCGUAGUCCAGAUUGGAGUCUGCAACUCGACUCCAUGAAGUAGGAAUCGCUAGUAAUCGCGGAUCAGAAUGCCGCGGUGAAUACGUUCCCGGGCCU